This 582-nucleotide long non-coding RNA is filed under the name Falco tinnunculus (common kestrel). RNAcentral describes it as "lncRNA (ENSFTIG00000006065.1)". Lineage: Eukaryota; Metazoa; Chordata; Aves; Falconiformes; Falconidae. The record is from RNAcentral.
GCAGAUCCUAGCUUCUUCCAAGUAAGGGGUGUCACUCUUAGACCGGAGUCUUCUGAUGGGUCUCCGGUCUAUGUCAUCCUCAGAAGAUGCUGUCAUCAGAGUGGGCACGGUGAGAAGUGUUGCCCGACGAGCUGAUAAGAAAGAACAAAGGAAGAGGAGAAUAGCAGGAGAAAGGAGAAAUGGAAGGAGGGAAGACAAGGGAGAAAAAAAAGAAGGAAAAAAAAAAGAAAAUCACUCAGUGGAAAGGAGGAUCUUUAGCAGGUGCUUUAGAAGUGGAUGGAGGCAGCUCAGAACCCCAGCCUGAACCUGGAAGGAUGCUGCAGGUGUGCAAACAUACAACAAAGAAAGGAGCUCUGCCUAAAGCUUUCCAAACUGACUGCAAGAUGAAAUACCACAGGUGGAUGAAAGGAAGGCAGGGAAGAACAAAAGGAAACCGUGAGUCACAUUGCGCUAUUAUCUGAGAAAUGCUGCUGCUCACAGAGGUGAAUUCUAGCCCUUGAGAGGCUGCUUGUGGAACAGACUGAGGAAUUGUCAUCUUGGAGGUGAGUGUGGAAUUGCUGAGAGAAGCUCCUGUAUUCAGAA